Molecule: transfer RNA, 72 nt
Filed under: Candidatus Aenigmatarchaeota archaeon
Lineage: Archaea; Nanobdellati; Candidatus Aenigmatarchaeota
Description: tRNA-Asn
Rfam family: tRNA
About the family: Transfer RNA (tRNA) molecules are approximately 80 nucleotides in length.
Source: RNAcentral
GCCCUUGUAGCUCAGUGGUAGAGCGUCUGGCUGUUAACCAGAAGGUCGCAGGUUCGAAUCCUGCCAAGGGCG